This 103-nucleotide non-coding RNA is filed under the name Thalassiosira rotula. The record is from RNAcentral. Lineage: Eukaryota; Bacillariophyta; Thalassiosirophyceae; Thalassiosirales; Thalassiosiraceae.
GAGGUCACACUACAGAAAUGAUACGUCUAUUGGGAGAAUUAGACCCACAACGCUACGCGCCGGUAAGUUACGUCGUUGCCGACAGCGAUGUAACGUCCAUCCC